This 279-nucleotide ribosomal RNA is filed under the name uncultured bacterium. Its description in RNAcentral is "partial 16S ribosomal RNA". It matches the Rfam family "Bacterial small subunit ribosomal RNA", at positions 506 to 784 of the family's 1533-position model. The record is from RNAcentral.
UGCCAGCCGCCGCGGUAAUACGGAGGGUGCAAGCGUUAAUCGGAAUUACUGGGCGUAAAGCGUGCGUAGGUGGUUUAUUAAGUCAGAUGUGAAAGCCCCGGGCUUAACCCGGGAACUGCAUUUGAAACUGGUAAACUAGAGUACGAUAGAGGGUGGUAGAAUUUCUUGUGUAGCAGUGAAAUGCGUAGAUAUGAGAAGGAAUACCAGUGGCGAAGGCGGCCACCUGGAUCGAUACUGACGCUGAGGUGCGUAAGCGUGGGGAGCAAACGGGAUUAGAUA